RNAcentral lists this long non-coding RNA (592 nucleotides) under Elaeis guineensis (African oil palm). Its description in RNAcentral is "long non-coding RNA (EGUI_LNC041419)". The record is from RNAcentral. Lineage: Eukaryota; Viridiplantae; Streptophyta; Magnoliopsida; Arecales; Arecaceae.
AUCGAUUGGAAACCUUGAGCAACUGGUAUAGAGAGAUGCUAUGUAAUCCUACACGAAGUAGGACUCUUUUUCUAUUAUUUUGAUACAGAAGUAUAAUAUCUUUGUUAUAGCGACGGAAGACUUGCAUCAUCCACCCAUCAUCUCAAGCCCUCCGGAUAAUAAUAUAUAUAUCGAAAUACAUCUAAAUGGAGAAACAUAUACACCAUAAGAUUCUUAUCACAACACCUUGGAGAUGCUUCAUGGCUUGUGAUGUCCCCUGGUGUUGCACAACAGGGACCCAAGAGCAUGAUAGUUGACGUACCGGCUUGGGGCCGAGGGUGGCGGCCUGAAACCCCUUGGCUUGCAACCCCCGACCUCCCUACUGCGAAAGAAUCCAUGCUUGUGAUGGGGUUGAGUCUGCAACGUGACAUACUCACCAUGCUUUGAAUCCAGUGGCCUCAUCGUGGUUGCAACCCAUGUUGAGGAAUUCCCAGUGACUCGGAGCCCUAGAGGGGACAGUAGUAUCAGGAAGAGGAAGGCCAUGGUGAGAGGGGUAGGCAUUUGAGGUAGGACUAGUGGUUUGUGGUGUGGGGAUGGGAAGUGGGGUUAAAAG